AUUGCUUCUCGGCCUUUUGGCUAAGAUCAAGUGUAGUAAAACGACAUACAAACCUAAGUUAUUAUUGUUAACUAUGUAAUCAUUCUUGCAGACAUACUUUUAAGUCAGUGUCUCAGAUCUUCCUUGGUUGUAAACUACAUUCAACUCUGUAUUUUCCUAGAAAGCAGUAAUUGAAGAAAAGUU
Molecule: small nuclear RNA, 183 nt
Organism: Chlorocebus sabaeus (green monkey)
Lineage: Eukaryota; Metazoa; Chordata; Mammalia; Primates; Cercopithecidae
Rfam family: U2 spliceosomal RNA
About the family: U2 is a small nuclear RNA (snRNA) component of the spliceosome (involved in pre-mRNA splicing). Complementary binding between U2 snRNA (in an area lying towards the 5' end but 3' to hairpin I) and the branchpoint sequence (BPS) of the intron results the bulging out of an unpaired adenosine, on the BPS, which initiates a nucleophilic attack at the intronic 5' splice site, thus starting the first of two transesterification reactions that mediate splicing.
Source: Rfam